AAUCAGUUUUAUUUAAGAAUUUCCAACAAUGACAACUCUUAUAAAAAGCAUCCAAGCACAGGACACAGAACUGCAGCAAACAGCAUUCUUAUGGGUAGCUAACAGACAUUAGAACUUCUACCCUUCUUUGAGACACCAGAGUUCACUGGUGAACUCUGCUUCCAAGUCCUCCUGCAAAGCACACCACAAGCUCAGUCCAUGUUCUCAGCCCAUCAGCUUCAGUUCACAUUGCCACACUUACAUAUCAGUAACAGAAGAGAACACACACCAUACAGCAUUCACAGCAGUUGACAAAGGGGUAGGGGGAGUACAAGUAUCAUUUCACUUAACACGUUCAAAUAAAGUGGGUUAUCUAAGAACAAAAACUCACUUAAAGUCUUCCAACAGACGUGUAUGUCCUUUGAAUGCAAAAAACAUUCGUACAUUAUUUGCUAUCAUUGCUGUCCGCACACUGUCACCAAAGCCGCAGGAUUGAGAGACACAUCUCGCCAAGUUAAAAAAUAUCCGUUAUGCACCGCCAAGUCUCUGCACGUGCUCUCUCCUUUUCUCACUCAUACUAGCCUUUCACGCCUCGGCACCACCGUCAAUCCCACACAAGGUUUCAAAAGUUCAAACAGCCUUCUGGUUCCAUAUCACAGCCUUGCGUUCACAGCGUUGAUACGACUCCAUGAAAUAAAGAGUAGCAGAUAAAAAUGGGACACCCACCGUCAAAGACACGGCCUGUGAUGCGUGAUGACGAAUUCUUGAAUGAGAAGGCAUGUAGACAGAAGUGUUCCUAUGGCAGAAUAUUUACAGCACUACUUUCAAUCAAGUGCUUCUUCCAUAAACAUUUGAAAUGAGAUGAACUGCAGAGAUUAAAUGAAGGCUUCAUAUUGUACUUUUGUAUUUGAGGGGAGACAAGUGUUAAAAAACAAAACAAAAGAACCAAACUGUGACACCAUGAUCUCCUAAAAGGAGAUUUUCUUAAGGAAAAAAAUCCAUAUGGUGCGGUUCAAAUUAAAAGAAGGAAUAAAGAAAGUAGUUCUAAUCAAUGGCUUCCAUUUUGAACAUGCAAAGAAUUCACUUGACAAGUCCAGGGAUAAAAUAUUACAGGAGAAACCUUUUGAUAUCAAUUGUAGUGUGUUGGUUUACCAGUCAGGCAAACAGCAGUUCACUUUUAACCACUCGAUAUUUCAACCUUUCCUGUAACAAAACUUAUAAAAUUCCUUUAGCUGUUCCUUUUUCUAAAGAAAAAUGUCAAAAAUACUGCUGAAUAUACUCCACACUGAACAAACCAAUUUUGAAAAUUCUUAGUACAUAUGUAUUUUACAAUAUACUUACCAUGAGUUUAGAAAAAUUUGAUUUCCGACCAUUCUAUACCAACCAACCACAACCCCACUGUCUACGUUCCCCAGCCAGAAGACUUAGAAUCCAUGCUUGAGCCAAAGCCGCCAUUAAAACCACUGCCCAACCCUGCAUUUGAUCCUGAUCCCCAACCAAUUGCUGCACCAAAAUUAGAAUCACUAUAAGAGUUAUUUCCAGAACCGAAGGCCUGGUUUGGCUCCCUCUGCAUGUUGCCUUGGCUUUGGUUAUUAUCCGAUGGGCCUGGCCGGUUCGCUGGCUGGCUAACACGCCCAUCGUACACCAACUGCUCUGUGGUGCUGCCUGGGGGGCAGCCAUAAUGCCUGGAUUAAUGUUGAAUGCACCAAAGUUUAUCCCACCACCCAUAUUACUACCUUGAUUGUUUCCCAAACCAGCUCCACCCCCUCUACUAUUACCAAAUCCACCCUGAUUCCCAAAGCCACCUGGAUUAUCACCAAAAUCUUCCACUUCUUUCUGUCUAUUGCUAUUGUGCUUGGGUUCGGCAUUGGAUAUAUGAACGCUGAUUCCUUUAAUCAAGUCCUCUCCACAAAGACACUGCACAAUCUGAUCAUCUGCAAAUGGAACAAAGGCCAAAGGCCCUGAACGGCUUGGGGAUGAAGACGUCCAUCACAUCCCCAUACUCAGAGAAGAACUCCCACAGCUCAUCCUCAGUCAUGUCCUCUGUAGAGCGCCCCACAAACACUUUUCUGCUUCUCAAAGGCUCAUCUUGGCUUUGCUGCACCAUAAGAACUUCUCCAAAAGCACUACAAUACUCUUUCAGGUACUGUUCAGUUGUUUUCCACGGGAGACCCAACACUAUUAAAUCGGACUGUUCUUUUCACUUUCACUGCUGAUGAAGCAUCCGUCUCACCCAUUUUUCUUUUGUUAUCUUUCGGAUAGUUGACAAUAUGCACCAGAUUUCUCCAGCCAGCAUCGGGGGCAUGCAGAAUUCCUUCUACCAGCCGGACACCUCUCAUACAUUGAGACACUGGAUUCCUGUAGCGAAGCCCACACGCCCCUGGAAACUGGGCUGUGACCGUGGACAGCAGCACCUUCCCAUCGUCUUCCGAUGGUAUUUCAAUGGGCUCAUCGUUCUCAUCUUCGGUUACCCGAAUAUAUUCAGACAUCUUUUACUUUUCCACUAGGCCGCUGCUGGGAAGCCCGACAGGGACACCGAGGCAGCGACGGACCCAAGCGCCAGUUUUUUUGUUUUUUUUUUAAAGAGGCCACCACAGGCUGAGGCGGGACUACAACUCCCAGAGGCCGCCGCGGCCCGGAGGCCACGCCCCUUGGCGGCAAGCUCUGAGCCCUUUGCGGCAUUUGACACUCGACAUCCUCGUGCUUCUUAAAGCACGUGCCCAACGGUGAGCAACGGCACCCAACGGUGCCCGAGGGACUCGCGCUGCCCGUUAAGCAGCUUUGCGGUGGCGGAGGCUGGGCUGCCAUCUCUCCGACAUCCCGGGACAGAGGAAGAGAUGAAGGCUCUGCAGCCCCCGUUGUCCGAUUUACACUUGAGGAAGCGAAGGCGAGAGAGGUCGUCUGCGGGGCCAGCCCAGGGCUGCCGGGGGGACCCUGCCCUAGAGAGCCGGGCGCGGGCUGCAGGGCCUGGCGGCCUGGACGGCGGAGCGUUGAAAGCUCCCCCAGGGAUAGGAAGUGCAGCCGAAAUCAACGACUGAGGUCAUGAAGGAGGGGACGCUUGAGGCCGUGGAGGGGAAGCAGGUUUCUCCAGGAGGGAACCCGGGCCUCCGCUUUGCUCAGCGUUCCCCUCGCGAAUGUGUUGAGCACCUGUUAUGUGCUGGGGGUACAGAGGGUCUGAGCACCUCCCUCAUGCAGGCUCCCAAGUUCACCAUGCUGAGAAAGACCUGCGGGAGACAGCAGGAGGACAGCUGGGGAAUGGGCCCGCACGUGCCCAGAGGCCCUGAUGGUGUCGUCUUGGGAGUGGAGGAACCUGAGGGAAAAUCGCAGGGGUGAGUCGGGGAGAGCUCUGCCCUGGUGCCCUGGCACGUAUCCACAUGGGCCGCAGCUGCACCCGGCUCUCAGCAGAGGGCAUCGCCAUGCUUCUGGGCACCGCCGGGCCGUCUCGCCUCCCUGCGGCUCCUGAUGCCUCCCAGGCUCCGCUGAGGUCACCUUGGGCACUUAGCGUGGCUGCAGCUCUUUGCAGCCCUGUGUCCUGUCAUCCAUGUGGCCGUCAUGUGGUCACUUUUGGGCAUUGCGCUGUGUAAGGUCCAUGGGGACUGGGCACCUUUGGCCAUUCUUUCUUUGGUUGUCUGUGCAAGUAAUAAACUAAAUCUGAAAAGGU
This is a long non-coding RNA of Pongo pygmaeus (Bornean orangutan), 3640 nucleotides long. RefSeq lists it as uncharacterized. The record is from RefSeq and is a predicted model, not a curated record. The transcript has 4 exons. Lineage: Eukaryota; Metazoa; Chordata; Mammalia; Primates; Hominidae.